RNAcentral lists this ribosomal RNA (1357 nucleotides) under Acanthotermes acanthothorax. RNAcentral's name for it is "16S ribosomal RNA". The stretch from base 876 to 1244 matches the Rfam family "Bacterial large subunit ribosomal RNA", at positions 2073 to 2647 of the family's 2925-position model. The record is from RNAcentral. Lineage: Eukaryota; Metazoa; Arthropoda; Insecta; Blattodea; Termitidae.
GCGUUGGAUAUGUAUGGUUGAUUUUAUAUAAUUGUUUAUUGAAAUAUCAUUGGUUGUUGUUGUAAUUUUUUGAUUUAAUUUUUAGUGCGAUAGUUUACUUGUACUGUGAGGGGUUAAUUUUUUUUUGUUAGAAGUUGAUUUUGUUUGUUGUACCUUGUGUAUCAGGGUUCAUUGAAUUUUAUUAUUUAUUUUUAUUUCCCGAUUUUGGAGGAGUUAAUGGUCUAUGUUGGUUGCUGUUUCAUUAUCAUUAAUAAUGGAUUGUUGGUAGUGAGAUGCUAUUUCGUCUUCAGUGGUUUCUGGUUUUUCAAGAAAUGAAUUUAAUUCAUGCAUCUUAUUUAAUAUUUAUUGUUGGUUUAUAUUUUUUUAUUUGAUGUUAAGAUUGGGGGGGAUUAGCUCUCUAUUUUAGUUUUUAUAAUUUGGUUUAGUAUAAUUUAUUUUUGUGGAUUUUAUAUUGAUUUUCGGUUUGAUUAUGUUAAAAUUUUAUUUGUUAUGUUUUUAAUUUUUUUUUGUUUAAUGUUUUAUUGGAAUGUUUUCUUUAUUUUAUUUUGUGUAGUAAUUAUUGUGGAAUUAGUAAAUUGUGUUUUGUGUUGUUUAAUUUUAAAGGUGUUAUGUUCUUUUAAGGAAUUAGGCAAAGAUUUUCAUGUCCGCCUGUUUAACAAAAACAUCUUUUCUCGUUAGUUUUUGAAGUAUGGCCUGCCCGCUGAUGCUUUGUGAUUAUAGUUGAAGGGCCGCGGUAUUUUGACCGUGCAAAGGUAGCAUAAUCAUUAGUUCUUUAAUUGUGAUCUGGUAUGAAUGGCUUGACGAGAUAUGAGCUGUCUUAGGUGGUAGGAAUUGUUUAUUGAAUUUGGUUUUUGAGUUAAAAUUCUUAGAUGUUUUUAUGGGACGAGAAGACCCUAUAGAGUUUGACAAUGUGGUGUGUUUUAUUAUUAGUUUGAGAUUUAAGUUUAAUGUACCUAUUGUUUUGUUGGGGUGAUGGGAGGAAUUUUUUUAACUCCUCUUUUAUUUGAUAUAUUUAUGUAUAUGUGUGUUGAUCCAUUUAUUUUGAUUAAAAGAUUUAAUUACCUUAGGGAUAACAGCGUUAUCCUCCUUGAGAGUUCUUAUUGGCAGGGGGGUUUGCGACCUCGAUGUUGGAUUAGGGUUAAUUUUUGGUGUAGGAGCUGAAGUUGAUUGGGUCUGUUCGACCUUUAAAAUCUUACAUGAUCUGAGUUCAGACCGGCGUGAGCCAGGUUGGUUUCUAUCUAUAAUUUUUGUUUAUGCCUUAGUACGAGAGGACCGGGUAUUUGAAAUAAUUUUGGUAAUAUUGCGUUUUAUUAAUGUUUACUAUUUUGGCAGACAAGUGCGUUGGAUUUAGGAUCUA